AGUGAACGCUGGCGGUAGGCCUAACACAUGCAAGUCGAACGGCAGCACAGUAAGAGCUUGCUCUUACGGGUGGCGAGUGGCGGACGGGUGCGGAAUACAUCGGAAUCUACUUUUUCGUGGGGGAUAACGUAGGGAAACUUACGCUAAUACCGCAUACGACCUACGGGUGAAAGCAGGGGAUCUUCGGAACUUGCGCGAUUGAAUGAGCCGAUGUCGGAUUAGCUAGUUGGCGGGGUAAAGGCCCACCAAGGCGACGAUCCGUAGCUGGUCUGAGAGGAUGAUCAGCCACACUGGAACUGAGACACGGUCCAGACUCCUACGGGAGGCAGCAGUGGGGAAUAUUGGACAAUGGGCGCAAGCCUGAUCCAGCCAUACCGCGUGUGUGAAGAAGGCCUUCGGGUUGUAAAGCCCUUUUGUUGGGAAAGAAAAGCAGCAGGUUAAUACCCCGCUGUUCUGACGGUACCCAAAGAAUAAGCACCGGCUAACUUCGUG
This 492-nucleotide ribosomal RNA is filed under the name uncultured bacterium. Its description in RNAcentral is "partial 16S ribosomal RNA". It matches the Rfam family "Bacterial small subunit ribosomal RNA", at positions 29 to 507 of the family's 1533-position model. The record is from RNAcentral.